GCUGCUUCCUACUAGACGUGAGGCUUGCACUGCUCCCGCCAUGGAGCUCAGAUCAUGCCCUGGAGAAGCAGGUGACAUCGCGGAAUUUUCCUGUUCCAGAUGCCAGAAGUCUGAAAUGAAGGUGUAAAGCAGGGUGGUUCCUUCUGGAGGCUCUGAGAGAAUCACCCCAGGCCUCUCUCCAGCUUCUGGUGCUGGUAUUCUCAGGCUUUGCUGGCUUGUGUUUGACACCAUGCCUGACACAUUGGGGGUGCUCAGUAGACCUGUGUGAGAUGGACAGCCUCCCGUACAGAUGGACGGACAGAUGUACAGGUAGGUGAAUGAACUUUCGUUGCCCCUAAAGCAGGAGAGACUCUGAGUUUCUGAGACAACGGCCAAGAACUUUCUGAUAAGAUCUCUGCAUUUAAGGUUCAGAAAAACUCGAUGAGGACAAUAUUUUUCUCCCGAUUUUGCAGAUAAGAAAAUAGAGGCAUAGAGAAGUCACUUGCUAGUAAAUGUUAGAGGCAGCUUUCUAACCCAGGUCCAUGUGAACCCAGAAAAAGAGGCAGUGAGCACCUGUUCACCCAGGAGCAGCUCUCAGAAGAUAAGAUAAUACGAGGAGGAGGCAGCAGACCCCUAUGCCACGCGUCCACCUGGGGCUGUCCAUCACUUCCUGCAAGAUCUUGCUGGUAGCCAGAUUCUCAGAGACCCCCAGUGAGCCCCGCCUCCUGGUUUUCACACCCUGUGUAGUUUCCUUUCCCCAGGGAUGGUCCAAGUGACCAGCAGCCCGUGGCAGAAGUGAUGGAAUAGCACUUCCAAGCUUAGGUUAUGAAAGAUUGCAGCUUCAAUCUCCUGCCCCACACCCCGUCUCUCUCUCUAACCCCACUCCCUCCCUCCCUCUCUCAUCUCUGACUCUGGGGGAAGCACACUGCAGCCCCGUGGAGAUGCCCUGUGUAAGCCACUGAAGCCUCUGGCCAACAGCAGUGGGAACCUGAGACGUGUCCACAAGCAUGCAUGGGAGCUUGGAAGUGGAUCCUUCAGCCCCAGCCAAGCCUUCAGACGAUGCAGCCUCAGGGACAGUAUGACUGCAGCCUCAUGAGACCCUGAGCCAGAAACACCCCUCCAAGCCACUCCCAGAUGCCUGGCCCUCAGAACCUGGGAGGUAAUAAAUAUUUAUGGCUGUUUGAAGCUGCUGUAUCGGGGGACAAUUUGUUACACAGUAAUAGCUAACUGGUGCAGUCCUGGGACUCUUAGCAGUUUGGAGUAUCAGUUAUUUUGCCAAGGCGGGGAAGUUAACAGUGGUCAUUGCAGCAGCUGCACUUGGGGACCACAAUAAAGAAGCUUUCUCAGACUGGUUUGAACAAAGUGGUGAAUUCUCUGCAAGGACACAGAGGUGUCUCUCAAAACCCAAGGAUGGGACAGCAGGCCUCAAGAAGAACUGGAACCUCUGUCCCUUCUGUGCUUCUUUUUACUCCUGUGUUCUCUGCUUCUUGGAGCACUUGGCAGUUGGGAAGUGGCCAUUUCAAUUCUCGUGGUCAAGAAACCAGCUCAGAAAUAACCCAACCAACACAGGUGGGGUCAGGUGUCCAUCCUGGCUCCAUUUGUCAUGGCGGGAGAUGGUGAUGAAGAGAAACAUCCAGGACCAUUGGUAGGGCACCCGAAUGAGAUUCCAGGAGAGGCCAGUUCUAAGAGAAGGGUACUAGAAAGAUACCCAUUGAAGUCAAUACCACAUGUGGCACAUCCUCCUUUCAGGUGGCAAGUGUGUAGCCAAAGCAAGGUUCAGGGUCCAUAUUUGAAAGUCAGAAACUGAAUAAACUGUUUUCUCCCACCCCGAGCACUGUGGGGAACUCUGCUCACAAAUCCACCAUCCACCAUCACCAGCCGUGCUCAUCUGACCAUUCAUGCAGGCUCACACUUGACCUGAUGUGGGUUCUGUCUCCUUUGCUUGAGAAUUGAAAGGCCUGGGAGAUGCAAAAGCUUUAGGCUCCAGCCAUCUCCCCAUGUCAGGUAGGCCUUUUGCCUAGUGUAUCCAGUUGGUAAUGCUGCAGAGAUGCAUGAAGCUGGAGUCAGAGGCCACCUGUAGUGCUGCCCUGACUUCAGACCUGAGCCCAGCCCAGCAGCAGAGAGGGGGCUGGGAGCCAGAGGAGGCCUCACAGUAACAGCACAGACAGGUGGGGGCCCACAACAGGCCACAUGUGUUCAAACUCGAGUGUGGGCAGAGGAGCAUGGGAAGCUCAGAGCCCUGAGCUCACCCCACACCCAACACGAGUGGGGUCACCCAAAAUCAGCCUGUCAGCACUGUCCCAGCAGCCAGUCGCAUGCUACAUUAACAAAUUUUGCACAGGCCAGCAAGCAGGAUCGCUCACCAGCCACCCUCCUGAACUGGCCUAUGGGGCCCCAGGAUGAUGCCAUAGCCACAAGUCUGGAGUUCCUCAAAGUACCUGGUCAGCACAACUCAGUUAAACAAUGGGCAAAAGACCUGAACAGACACUUCGCCAGAGAAGAUGUACAGAUGCAAGUAAGCAUUUGAAAAGGUGCCCCACAUCGUAUGUCGUUAGGGAAUGGUCCAAUCCAGAACACUGAUGGCACCAAAGGCUGCUGAGCAUGUGGAGCAGCAGAACUCUCAUUCACUGCUGGUGAGAAAAAUGGCGCAGCCCCAAUAGGGAACCCUAAUGCAGACUCUGGACUUCACUGGAAAUGACGUGUCAGUGUAGCUGCGUCAGUUGUAACAAAUGCACCAGUCUGGUGGGCGUGUUGAUAACCGGGGCUGCGCACGUGGGGAGAGAGGACCUGUGGGAAUGCUCUACUUUCCACUCAUUUUUGCUGUGAACUUAAAACUGCUCUUACAAAAUAACAUUGUUUGUUGUUGUUGUUGUUGUUGUUGUUGUUGUUGUUUUUAAGUAUCUAGUCAGCUCCACACAUGACCCGGGCAGAGUGGGAAGUUGUAGAGUGCCCCAAGGAGAGAAAUGGAACCAGGUCUCAUGUGGGGCCAAGUGUGGGCUCCCUGUCCUCUCAGCUGGUCCCAGGAACUGAAGGGAAAUUUAGACAACUUGGAGAAAGACACUCUAGGGCUCGGGGCAAAGGGUGGUGUUGAUGAGAACCAUAUUUUUUUAUUGCUGGUGUAAGCACUUGUAUUUUUCUGAUUUUCCACUGGUUCGAUAAUAAGGGUAAAA
This 3149-nucleotide long non-coding RNA is filed under the name Homo sapiens (human). Its description in RNAcentral is "non-protein coding lnc-MRGPRF-4:2". The record is from RNAcentral. Lineage: Eukaryota; Metazoa; Chordata; Mammalia; Primates; Hominidae.